GAGGGAGGUUGCAGCAGCCAGCACAGGAUGCUUACUGGAUGUCUUCCACCACACUUAGCUCCAGAAAAAGUAAGAUGAGGCAGCGCUGGAAAAAAAGUUCAAAUUGAUCCACGGUCAAUGGACUCAGGGUUGCGCAUCAAAUUCAAAACACACUUUGGGAUUGCGGAACAACAUCCAGCUUUCCCAAAGGCUGAUGACAAUGGAGGAAAAGGUCUGUGAAGAUUCCGUCAUCAUUUCAACAAGAUUUAAAUUGAUGUGGAGACAAACUGCUUUUUGUUUUAAAUGGUGAAAACAUUUUCCCUGGAGACACAGGUUGAAUAAUAAGGGUUUCUCAGUGGUGCCCGUAAAUGAACAAGUUCUACUCUGGCUGUCAGUGAGCUUAACGGGCACAGGUUGUCAUUCGCAUGUUCUUGGCCUUUAUUCUGUGAAUCUACUCCAUCCCACAACCAACAGAAGGGCCUCCUAAUGCCUCUUCUUUCCCAGGCCAACAGCCUUUAACUCGGGGGCAAGGCUUUCAUCAUUCCUGAGUGCGCUGAGACACCGAGUCGGCUGAGCUCAUUUAGCCCAGUGGAGUACGGAGUCAAUGAAGUCAAAGCCAUUGACUCAGCCUUUAUUCAAUCUCGCUACCCCCAUCCUCCUAUGUGUUAACUAAAUGCAUCCCCAUUGAACAUAUCCCGACUGGCACUGUAAAUCCAUUAGUCACUAGAACAAAAGGGUAGGUUGGAUACGGAUGGAGACAGACUGACUGUCCUGAAAUCCUAUCUCUGGCAUUCUAUAGCUCUGUGAACUUGGGGAGAUUACUUAAUUUCCUUGUCAUAAAAUAAGACUUAAUAUAGCCACUACUUCUGGGAUUUUAUAUGAUUUAAUAAAACUAUCCAUAUAAAGUG
RNAcentral lists this long non-coding RNA (887 nucleotides) under Mus musculus (house mouse). RNAcentral's name for it is "RIKEN cDNA 5033421B08 gene". The record is from RNAcentral. Lineage: Eukaryota; Metazoa; Chordata; Mammalia; Rodentia; Muridae.